Molecule: long non-coding RNA, 15402 nt
Filed under: Nicotiana tabacum (common tobacco)
Lineage: Eukaryota; Viridiplantae; Streptophyta; Magnoliopsida; Solanales; Solanaceae
Description: long non-coding RNA (NTAB_LNC003467)
Source: RNAcentral
CACCGUCUUGCUUUGAACAUUACUGCUUUCCUUUUGUUCUCCAGGUGGGCUCCUGAUCACCAACAUUUACACGGGGUUUCCUCGAAACUUGAACUGUUUUUCCCUUUGUUCUCUAGGUGGGCUCCUGAUUACCGACACUUGAAUUGUUUCUCCCUUUAUUCUCCAGGUGGGCUCCUGAUUACCGACACUUGAAUUGCUUCUCCUUUUGUUCUCUAAGUGGGCUCCUGAUUACCGACACUUGAAUUGCUUCUCCCUUUGUUCUUUAGGUGGGCUCCUGAUUUCCGACACUUGAAUUGCUUCUCCCUUUGUUCUUCAGGUGGUCUCCUGAUUACCGACAAUUGAAUUGCUUCUCCCUUUGUUCUCCAGGUGGGCUCCUGAUUACCAACACUUGAACUUGUUUUCCCUUUGUUCUCCAGGUGGACUCCUGAUUACCGACACUUUAACUGUUUUUCCUCGGAACUUGAUUUGUUUUCCAUUUGUUCUCCAGGUGGGCUCCUGAUUGUUGAGCUUGAACUACUUCCUCUUGCGACUGCUUUUCCUUUGAGCUGGCUUCCCUUGUUUCUCUAGGUGGGUGCCUGAUUGCUUGAACCUGAACUGCUUUCUAUCUUUGAAACUCGUGUUGUUCUCUCUUGCUCUCUAGGUGGGCGCCUGAUUGCAACAGAAUAAACAAAACAAAGAAAAUUUUUUGCCCCAGUUUGGUAGCUGGGCACAUCGGUGAGUGUUAAUUGAAUCAUGCUACCAAAUAUCUCUAAGAAUUUGAAAGCUAGAUCCCAUUAUCCUGGAGGGUCCUGAAAGCUCCUAGUAAAAUGACAGUUUUAAAGCUAAAUUAUAUUUUCUAAAGGUAUGACUUCCGCUAAAUCUUGUUAUCUAUGAAGGUCUUAAAACUACAUCCCAUUAUCUAGGAGGGUCCUGAAAAUCCAAAUCAAAUCUCAUCUUAAGAGUGACAACUUUAAGGCUAAAUUAUACUUCCCUACGACAGAACUUACGCUAAAUCUUAUUAUCUAAUGGAGGUCUUAAAGCUAAGUCCCAUUAUUCAGAUGGGUCUUGAAAAUUUCCAAUUGAGUCUCGUUCUAAGAAUGAAAACUUCAAAACAAACUUAUAUUUUCACAAAGUAGAGCUUAUGCUAGAUCUUGUUACUCAUGAAUAUUUUGAAUUUUAAAACUAGGUCCCAUAGUCCAAGAGGGACCUGAGAAUUUACGGUCGAACCUGUCUGGUACUUACUUUCCUUACAGAGAGUUUCUUCGAAACAAACAAAAUUUUCUUCCCCUAUUUCAAAUCAAAGAAAAAUUUUGUUAUUUUAAAAUGUGGUGGUUAGUUUAUGGCAUUCUUACUGAAGGUGGCCUCUCUGUUGUCGUGUUUUGCUUUGACUGGUUGCCUUGCAUAACCCGAGCGCUCUGCACCCAAACUGUUGUUUUACAUUUCUAACCCUUCUACCUAAACCUCUGUAUCUCCCACAAGAUUACUAAACCAUUCGACCAAUGGAACUUUCAUUGACACCUUAUUUCCCACUUUAUAUUAUGUUAUCUUUGGUAUGCUUUGGCCGCACUUUGCUUUGUGCAAUUUGGAGGUUUGGUAGUGAGCUUUGAAAUCCUUUCUUUCUUACUUAAACAAGGCUAAAAUUUGGAAAAACCUUAGAGAAAUAAUCCUAAAGAAGUAAAAUUCAAUGAAUUCGAGAGUUAGGAAUAAAGAGGAAAAUCCAAAACUGGAUGACAUGUUUGAAAGAGAAAAGGGAAAGAGACUUAUCUGAGUGGAGCGGCUGGUACCAAUUAUCAUGACAUGCAUUUCGGAUUAAUCAACCCAGCUUAUUCAACCAAUAUUCUUUCAAUCUUCACACUUUUAUGCCCGUGGUUCCCAUAAUCUAACUCCCUUGCCAAGUCAACGACCUUAUUCGGCUUGUAGUGCCCUGAAGGGUUUUCACCAACAAACCUCUCUCAUUUGUUUAUCUCUUAACUUACUGUCGUCUUACGGUGCCCGUGAGGGUUUUCACCAAUAAGACUCUCUCAUUUUUUAUUUCACUCAGCUUUCCAUCGUCUUACGGUGCCCGUGAAGGGUUUCACCAAUAAGACUCUCUCAUUUUUUACUUCCCUGCUCGGAAUGGAGUGUUUCCCCUGAUACGACUCGCCUCUACUUGCUCGACCUAGCAUCUCUCGAUGACUAAUCGAAAGGUCUUUCUUUGGACCGUAAUGUGCGCUUUGGAUAGGGUUAGAAAGAAAGGGUAUUGAAAGGCUCAAAACAAUUUGAAAUGGUUCAAAAUUAUAACUUUUGGAAUCAGAUUUCUUACAACAACCACAACUUUCUGCCCCAGUUUCUUUACUUGGGGACUUUUGAAUUUUAUUUUGACGGGACCGAACUGUGAGGCUGCCUACGUAUCCUUAAAAGGAAUCAGGUCAAACGUAGUUCAUGCAUAGAAAUUACUUUGUUGUUGUGAUUUUUCUCUUUUCUUUUUCUUUCUCUUCUCUUUUUUUUCCAUUUCCCUUUUUGUUGUUUUUUUUCUCUUCUUUUUUUCACUCUUUUUAUUCUUUUCUUUCUCUUUUUCUCUCUUUUCCUUUACAUAUCUUUUGUGUUCGCAUUUCUGAACUUUGCUACUGAUUCCAUAAGAGGGGAAUGAAAGGAAAUAAAUAAGGCUCAAAGGGGUAACAAAGGAUAAAGUGUUUAGAUAGCAGAACAAAAUGCCUUCGUCAUUCCAAUCUUCAAAACAUGCCAAGUACAAACAAACACAAUUUAAACCAAAGAAAUCAUACAUAAUAUCUUUUGACUACAUCAGAACUGAUAGCCAUAUCUACACAUUUGCCUUCUAUAUCUGUUAAAUACAAAGCACCAUAGGACAACACUCUCGUUACGAUGAACGGCCCCUGCCAAUUUGGGGCGAACUUGCCUUUUGCUUCAGCCUAAUGUGGAAGGAUGCGUUUCAAUACUUGCUGACCCACUUCAAAUUUUCGGGGACGCACUUUCUUGUUGUAUGCUCUUGCCAUUCUCUUUUGAUACAACUGGCCAUAGCAUACUGCUGCCAAUCUUUUCUCAUCAAUCAAACUCAAUUGCUCCAAACAGGUUUUGACCCACUCAUCAUCAUCAAUUUCGGCUUCAGCAAUGAUCUGAAGGGAUGUAAUUUCAACCUCCACGGGUAUUACUGCUUCUGGGCCAUAUACAAACAAAUAAGGAGUUGCCCCUACUGAAGUGCGAACAGUAGUGUGAUAACCCAACAGUGCAAAGGGCAACUUUUUAUGCCAUUGCCUGGAACCCUGCAUCAUUUUUCGAACUAUCUUCUUUAUGUUCUUGUUGGCUGGCUCAACUGCUCCAUUCGCCUUGGGGUGGUAUGGGGUGGAAUUGCAAUGCGUAAUCUUAGACUGUUGACACACUUCUUUCAUCAGAUGGUUGUUAAGAUUAGCACCAUUAUCUGUGAUGAUCACCUUGGGGAUUCCGAAUCGACAAAUAAUAUUUGAAUGAACAAAAUUGACCACUGCCUUCUUGGUUACAGACUUGAAAGUUUUAGCUUCAACCCACUUAGUGAAAUAGUCAAUGGCCACCAGAAUGAACCUGUGCCCAUUAGAUGUUGCUGGCUCAAUUGGUCCGAUGACAUCCAUACCCCAAGCAACAAAGGGCCAUGCUGCGGACAUUGUGUGUAAUUCAGAUGGCGGAGAAUGAAUCAAAUCUCCGUGUACUUGACAUUGAUGACAUUUGCGCACAAAACUGAUACAAUCUCGCUCCAUGGUGUGCCAAUAAUAACCUGCUCGGAGAAUCUUGUUUGCUAGAACAUACCCAUUCAUAUGCGGCCCGCAAACCCCGGAAUGUACUUCAGUCAUGAUUGUUGAUGCUUGUCUAGCAUCUAUGCAUCUUAACAAACCAAGAUCUGGAGUCCUUUUGUACAAAACUCCUCCACUGAAGAAAAACCCACUUGCCAAAUGUCGAAUUGUUCUCUUUUGAUCCCCCGUGGCUUGUACUGGAUACACCCCCAUUCUGAUGUACUCUUUGAUGUCGUGGAACCAUGGCUCACCAUCAAGUUCUUCUUCCACCAUGUUACAGUAAGCAUGCUGAUCGCAGACCUGAAUAUGUAAAGGGUCAACAUAAGCUCUGUCCGGAUGAUGUAACAUUGAUUCCAAGGUAGCCAAAGCAUCGACAACCUCAUUAUAGAUCCUUGGAAUAUGCCUGAAUUAUAUUGAUCAAAAUCGUUGACAAAGAUCAUGCAGACAUUGUCGAUACAGUAUAAGCUUUAAGUCCCGCGUCUCCCAUUAUCCUUGAAUCUAGUGCACCAGAAGGUCUGAGUCUCCCAAGACCAAGACUUCCUGGAUUCCUAUAUCUACAGCUAGCCUUAGUCCCAGAAUGCAUUCCUAGUACUCAUCCAUGUUGUUGGUACAAUAGAAAUGAAGCUGAGCCGUAACUGGGUAGUGAUGCCCUAUUUCAGAAAUGAGUACACCUCAUAUCCCAAUGCCUUUCAUGUUAGUAGCCCCAUCAAAGAAGAGUUUCCAACCGGGCUUUUCCUCCUUCUCGACCUCGUCAAUGUGUUUUACCUCUUCAUCAGGAAAAUAAGUCUUCAAAGGUUCAUAUUCUUCGUCCACGGGGUUCUCGGCCAAAUGAUCAACCAAAGCUUGGGCUUUCAACGCCGUCCGAGUCACAUAUACGAUGUCAAACUCUGUGAGCAAAAUCUGCCACUUUGCAAGCCUUCCUGUGGGCAUGGGCUUCUGAAAGAUAUACUUUAGAGGAUCCAGGCAAGAAAUGAGGUAAGUAUUGUAGGACGACAAGUAAUGCUUCAAUUUCUGUGCCACCCAAGUCAGGACACAACACGUCCUCUCAAGGGGAGUAUACUUAACCUCAUAAGAUGUGAAUUUCUUGCUGAGAUAGUAGAUGGCCUGCUCUUUCCUGCCAGUGAUGUCAUGCUGACCCAACACAUAACCAAAUGAGUUAUCCAGGACUGUCAAAUAAAGAAUCAAAGGUCUUCUUGGUUCUGGUAGGACCAACACAAGUGGGUUCGACAAAUACUCCUUGAUCUUAUCGAAGGCUUCCUGGAACUCAUCGGUCCAAUUGACCGCAACAUCCUUUUUUAGCAAGUUGAAUAUGGGCUCACAAGUUGUUGUGAGCUGAGCUAUAAACCUGCUGAUAUAGUUUAGCCUCCCUAACAAACUCAUCACCUUGGUCUUGUUCUUUGGCGGAGGUAGUUCCUGAGUAGCUUUAAUCUUUGACGGAUCCAAUUCAAUGCCCCACCGGCUGACUAUGAAUCCCAAAAGUUUUCCAGAUGGGACACCAAAUGCACACUUUGCAGGGUUGAGUUUAAGAUUGUACCUGUGGAGCCUUUGGAAGAACUUUCUCAAAUCUCUGCCGUGGUCAGACUACUUCUUGGACUUUAUGAUCACAUAAUCCACGUAAACCUCAAUCUCUUUGUGUAUCAUAUCAUGGAAUAUGGUUGUCAUUGCCCUCAUAUAAGUUGCCUCGGCAUUUUUCAAACCAAAAUGCAUGACCCGGUAGCAAUAUGUUCCCCAUGGUGUGAUGAAUGCCGUCUUUUCCGCAUCUUCCUCAUCCAUUAAAAUCUGAUGAUAGCCCGCAUAGCAAUCCACAAAAUACCCAAUCUCAUGUUUGGCACAACUAUCAAUCAAAAUGUGGAUAUUUGGCAAUGGGAAGUUGUCCUUUGGACUUGACUUAUUGAGAUCAUGGUAAUCAACACAUACUCUGGUCUUACCAUCCUUCUUUGGCACAGGCACAACAUUGGCUAACCACGUGGGAUACCGCUUGACUCGAAUUACCUUUGCAUCAAAUUGCUUUGUGACCUCUUCUUUAAUCUUCACACUCAUGUCGAUUUUGAACUUUCUCAACUUCUGCUUGACGGGAGGGAAUGCUGGAUCAAUUGGCAAUUUGUGGACUACCAAAUCGGUACUUAAGACUGGCAUGUCGUCAUACGAUCAUGCAAAGAUAUCCUUAUACUCAAACAAUAUUUUAAUUAUUUCUUCCCUGAUUUGUGGUUCAAGAUGGACACUUAUCUUAGUUUCUCUGACAUUUUCUAGGUCCCCUAGAUUGAUUGCUUCUGUAUCAUUCAGAUUAGGCUUGAGUUUUUCUUCAAAAUGACUUAGUUCCUUACUAAUCUUUUCAAAGGCCUCAUCCUCAUCAUAUUCUGAUUCAUCACCACACUCUAUUUCUUGGAUUAUUAUUUCAGAAUUAGAUUGACUUUUAAGACUGGACCGAAGAUUCCUCAUACAUGUCAUGUCAUUAAAACCAGCAUAAAAAGAACUGUACAGAGAAGAAAAGAAAAUAAAAAUAAAACUAUCAGGAAUGAUGGAAAGGGAAAUUGCAUUUCAUUAAAAUAAAGGAUAAUAGGGUUUGUACAUCAACAAGCAAAAAAUAAAAGUCUGGGUCACAACCCUGGAAUGACCUAGAUAGAAAGGAAAACAAAACAAACUACCAAGACUCUUUCCUAGUAGGGAGAGGAGUAGCCUUCCAAUUGUUAAACUUUGCAUUCGGCCCGACGAACUGCACGUCUACUUUGCUAGAACCUUCUCCAAAUUCCACCAUGUUCACAUCAUCAAACAACCUCUAGAACCUUUUAAUUAACUCCUCAUCAAUGUCAACCACAGAACUUGGGACCGUCGUCACUGGGCGUUUCCUGGCACCAGGCUUGACAAAGGACCUGGAGAGACGGGGAACAGGCUAUGGAAGUGCCCACACCUUCUGUUUCAACCUUUUAGCCCUUUUCACAUCUGCCGUUGUAGGUUUGAAUCCAAGAUCGAACGUACCCAAAUUUUUAGGGAGGGACACUGGUUGUACGAUACCAUGCAGAGAUGCACCCAGACCUUUACCGGGCACAAAACCAUUUUUUAGCAUUUCAAAGCCACCAUGGUAGAUGUAGAGGUUAUCUUAGUAGUUGGAAUACAUUUGCCCUCUGGAGCUUUCUCGACCGACACUAUUUCAAAAACCUGAUAGACCCAGGGCCCUUUGUCAUCUUCAACCUCAAUGAACGGGAUAAAGGCAUCACUGUGAGCACACAAGUUAUCUUCACCAUGCACGACGAUCUCCUGUCUAUCCCAUUUAAACUUGACCAUCUGGUGCAGAGUGGACAGGACUGCUUUGGAAGCAUGAAUCCAAGGUCGACCUAAUAGCAAAUUGUAAGAGAUGGCUACGUCCAGCACCUGGAACUCCAUGGUGAAUUUCACUGGUCCUAUUGUCAACUCAAGCACUAUAUCACAAACUAAAUCUUUCCAUGUACCGUCAAAUCCCCGAACGCAGAUGAUGUUCUUAUGAAUCCUCUCAUCAUCCACUUUCAACUUGUUCAGAGUAGAGAGAGGGCAGAUGUUUGCACUAGAACCAUUGUCGACUAAUACCCUAGUAACCACAGAAUCUUCACAUUUUACUGUAAGAUAGAGAGCUCUGUUAUGUUCAGUACCUUCCACAGGCAACUCAUCAUCAGAGAAGGUGACCUUGUUCACCUCAAAUAUUUUGUUGGCGAUCUUUUCCAGAUGGUUUACUGAAAUUUUGUCGGGAACAUGAGCCUUGUUCAGAAUUUUUAUCAAGGCUCGACGAUGCUCGUCUGAGUGGAUUAACAAUGACAACAAUGAAAUUUGAGAAGGCGUCUUUUUCAAUUGCUCCACAAUGGAAUAAUAUUGUACCUUCAUUUUUCUCAGAAACUCCUCCGCCUCUUCUUCAGUCACUGCUUUUUUCACUAACACUGGGUUAUCUCUGGAUGUUUUAGCUUUCCUUAACUCUUCCGGGGCAAAGUAUCUCCCCGAACGAGUUAAUCCCUGGGCCUCAUUGGCUUCUUCUUUCACUUCCUUUCCCUUAUAGGUCAGUAUCACCCGUUCAUAGUUGCACGGGAUAGCCUUGUUGUUGACUAUCGGCAACUGGGUUAUAGGCUUGAUGAUGACAGGAUCCAUACAGGCACCCUCUACAGCUAUGAUAGGCUUGUUUGCCGCUCCUGGCACAACCACUUUUGACUUUUCUUUCUUCUCCGCGACAUCACUUGGGGGUCCUUACUUGACUAGCACAGAUGGUUCACUGUUUGCCCUACUCAACUUGUUCACUGAUCCUUCAACUGUUGGUUUUUUAAUUAGCUUGACCUCACUGGACUGAAUCAUCAUGACAGUUUGUGAAGGCUUCUUGGGCUCCCCUCCCUUAUGUACUAUCUCGAUCAUGUUUGUUUCCUGAUGGGUUGGAAAUGGGUUCUGGUUGAUGUUAGGUGCCUAUGGAGUUUGGACUUCAAUCCGGUUUGUGUCAAUGAGCUCCUGGAUGGCGUUUUUCAAGUGGCAGCACUUCUCCGUAUCAUGCCUCGGAGUACCAGAACAAUAUUCACAGCUUAUAAAGUAAUCAAGAUUCUUUGGAGGAGGGUUUGACAAUUUUGACUCAAUUGGCCUCAGCAUAUCUAAUUGCCUCAAUAUGUGGAACAAACGAUAUAAGACUCCCCCAAUGGGGUAAAGAUUUUCUUCUAUUGUAUCCUCUUAUUUUUUAAAUGCUAGAUUAGGUCGGAAACCUGGGCCGGUAGGGUUUCGGUACACUCGUGGAGGUGGGUAAGCAUUUUGUGGAGCUGGGUAGGUGUUUUGUGGGGCUGGGGAACACCAUUGUGCGUAGGUAGGAGGUUAAGUAUAUGUUUGGGCAUGGUGGACAGAAAUAUGAGGGAAUGCUGAUGGGAAGUAGUGUUGGGUGGAUUAUAUGGAGGUUGGGUGUAGGUUCGGUGAUGGGGUCGCAGCUGGGUAUAUCGGUGAUGGACAUAACAGUGCUCUCUUUCUGCUUUGAAAUCUUUUGCCUGCUUGGUCAUCUUGUUCUCAAGGACGAUGAUCUUUUUCUUCAACCUCAUGACUCCAUUGUCAUAUUUCUCUUUUAAUUGUUGAACCAAGCGUGCUCGUUCCUCCGCAUUCUUGGCCAAUUUUGUUUGAGCCCUUGCCAGUUCGCCCUCGGCCUUUUUCAGAUCAAAACCAUAUUCACCCACUUUCUGCCUAAGGUUACAUAUAAACUUUUCAUCUUUUGCACUUCUAGCGGGGUUUUCAGCUACUAUUUUCAUUUCCUGGAUUUGGGCUCGAAGGGCGUCAUUUUCUUUGGCUAGCUUUUUCUUUUUGCCCUCAUCCGCGGCGGCUUGCAAACCAUUCUCAAACUGAAGAUCCCUGACUUGUUUUUCCAGUUUGCCUAUUGUGGCCCUAUACUCGUUCUCCUUGGCCAACCAAGCCCACUGUUCUUGCGAUACUUCAACAAAUUCCUGAAUGUGAGGCUUUUUGGUUGGUCUUUCAGGUUUGGCCCUUGUGGUGUUCUUUUUUCUAUACCAGGCAAGAUAGGCUGGUGAGACCUCGCCUCUAGAUAGGUCACACACUCGAGUGUUUGCUGUCAAAUACUAGCACUCAAUCCAAAUAUGACGAACUGUUUCUUUAUGAAAUUGGCCGUCGGAGCUGACUUCGACCGCAUAAACACUAAGAUCUUCAUCUGGGUGCGUCACCUGGCAUCUUCCCAACUGUCUCAUUACCUAGUAUGAAGCAUAAGGAUGAAUGCCUUGAAGACCCAUUAGAAGGAGGUAAGGCCCGGUGGCAGGCAUAUACAUAAUUUCUUCAACAGGAAGCCAACCCAGUGUCUGCUAUAUUUGCCCCGCAGUGAUGGAGCGAAGGCGGGGUACCCAAUCUCCAAACCCUUCUGGCAGCUUGAACCUUGAAAUUCUUGUGUCUAACUCUUCAAUGCAGCUUUUCUCCAUGGACCCAUAACUCAUAUACUGAGGGCGGUGAGACAGAUGCUGGAUCAUCCACAUUUGUAACAGCAAAUGGCAUCCUUCGAAAAAGUUUGCCCCAGCUUUACAAGCUGUGAGAGCUCGGUAUAUCUCAGACACUAUCAUAGGGGUGAGAGUGCUCUUGGCAUUGGUAAUAAAGAUAUUGAUGACUCCAGCCACCCGCAGAUCCAUAUUCCCAUCCUUUCGGGGAAACACCACGAGGCCUAAGAAGGCUACCAUGAAAACGAAACGCCUAUGCUCAUCCCAUUUUGCUCGGUUCCCUUUGCUACAAACCCCACUCUCCGGGUUGUCAAAUCCUCCUACAUGCCCGUACAUUUGGUAUAUGAAGCGUAGAGUGGAAAAACCGACCGCCAAAUCUGCGUACUAGACCCCACUACUUAUUUUUAGCAAAUCCAAGAACUUGUGAGAGGUAACGGUUCUUGGAGCGACCAGAUACUUAUGCCUUAGACCUUCAGUACUUCCCAUAUAACCUACUAUCUCUUCCAAGAUAGGUGUGAGUUCAAAAUAUGAGAAGUGGAGGACGUUGUGAGCUGGGUCCCAAAAUGUUACCAGUGCCCUUAUUAUGUCUCCUUUAUGCCUAAUCUUCAUCAAUCCGGUGAGCCCUCCCAAAUAAAGGUUGACCACAUCUCGUCCUUCUUUACCCAAAUCUUCCCACCACAUGAGUAGAUCCAAUGGAAUCUUGGACAUGACCUUUAUUGGUAAAUUUUGACUCGUGCUCAUUCUACACUUUUAGAUUAGGGUGAUUGGUUUACACACAAAGUGAAUCUCAUUUAAAAAACUAAUAAAAGGGGUUAUUUUGCAAAAAUCAAGAAGUCAGGGCUACUUUUGCGAAUACGGCCCUCUAACACUUUGAAAUGGAAGUUUUUAGGGCUGUGAUCACUAAGUGGCCAAAAUUUAACAAAACACAGUCAGUGACUAUUCUUGCAAAAACAGCCUUCCGGUGUCCCGUUGAGACAUUAGGCUAUUUAGACAAGAACGGCAUUACCCACUUUAUUUACGACAAAAUGACGACACUUCAUAUAUUUUUUCAAAUUUUUUCAAAAAGCGGAGCUGGACCUGAUAAGGGUUGCCUAUGUAUCCCACAUCCGGUGAGAAUCAAACAUGCGUAGUUUGGCUAGUUUUGACAUGAAAAAACAAAAAUCAUUUUGGACUAAUUCUUCUCUUUUCAAGAAACUUCUUUUUCAAGGAAUUCUUUUUCUUCUCUUUUUUCAAAAAUUCGGCAGAGUUUCGAAACAUUUUGGGCAUCAUUUUUGGGAAACGGGUGAAAUCCUCUCUCAUACCUCAACUCGGGUUUUCUUUUGGUUUUCCUCACUCAAUCUAGAAGCUGGUCAACAUGCAAUCCAAAACAAAUUAAAUGCACAGGUAGCACAUAGAAUGCAUCAGGUUGGUCUUUUACUUUCGGAUGCACCUGUCCUAGACGGACCCAACCCCUGUGUUGAGUCCCCAAAGUCAAAUGCACAUGGUGCAAACAAGCGUUCCUACUAGGGAUCCGACAUAAGGCUAAGUUAUUCUAAGUUUAAAACCUGGAUGUAUUGUUCUAGACCUGGCUUACACGAGCAGACAACUCGAGCCGAUGGGGGGAAGCAUACCGGUAACCAAAAGAUCAUCCAGCUUUGCAACUUGUCCGAACCUCGUUCUAAAUUGGGAUAUGACACUAACAGAAAGAAGUCACGCCAGUGUGCACUCCUCAGAAGAUAGAUGAGAGAGGUUUCAUAGCAGUUUAUAUAUACAGAUCAGAUAAUAUCAAAGCGGUAAAAGGCAACAUUUAGCACAUUAGGCCCAAACAUGUAGAUAAAAUCAGACAAUAAGCCGAAUAUAACAAUUAUUCUAAGCUCGAAUUCUUGAACCCUGAACCAGAGAUUCUGGGUUCGUAUCCCCACAGAGUCGCCAGAUCUGUCACACCUCUUUUUUCCUACCCCCGAAAAGUUAUAUAAGGGGAGAUUUUUCCAAUUCAAGUGACAAUCGAAACGGGAUUAUUUGUUUUUAAAAAAAAUCAUAGUCGCCACUUGGAAUAAUUUAUGGUGUCCCAAGUCACCGGUUCAAAUCCCGAAUCGAGGAAAGGUUGACUCUGGUUUAUAGUCCGCGAAUACAGAAAUUCGGGUAAGGAAUUCUAUUAACCCGAGAGAAGCUUUUAGGCAUUCCUGGGUCCCGUGGUUUUAGCACGGUCGCUCAACGGUUAUUAUUGGCCUAUUUAUUUGAUUUUAAAACAUCUUUGAAACCUAUGUGCAUUUUUAUUCCUUUUAAACCGCUUUUAAUAAUUUGAUUGUUAUACAACUAAUUAUUUGAUUACACGUUGCGAAUCAUGUUACAGGAGUCGUACCCAUGAUCCGCAACAUGUUUAUUUUUAAUAACAAAAUUAAAUUGUGGCCGGGUCGCAUAAAUGCACCCCCGGGUUUUAGGAAUUAAGUAUCAUGACCACAUCACGGGAACCGUACCCGUAGCUAUGACAAUUAUUUAAUUAACGCGCCUAAAGCAAACUACGAAAGCUCAAGGCAUUUUCUAUACUAAUUUGGUAUUUAUGUAAGGGCCAUACAUUAUGGAUUUUAUUUGCGUAUGGCGCACCUCAAUUUAGUUUAGGAAAAGAAUUUGUAUUUAGCUAAGGCAAACCUUAAAUACUCCUACUUAUACCUAAUUUUAAAAGAAACUAAGAAUCACAACCACGUCACGGGAAUUGUACCCGUAGUUGUAAUAACUUAAUUACGCGCCUAAAGAAAACUACGAGAUUUAUUUUAGUAACUAAAUUAUAAAAUAUGAGGGCCAUAGAUUAUAUGAUUCAAAUGUAUGAAUGGCACACGCCUCAAAACUAUUCAACUAGAUGAAUUAAGGAUAUUCAUAUUUAAAGCUAAUUCAAAAUUUAGCGUCACAACUACGUCACGGGAACCAUACAUGUAGUCGUGACGUUUCAAAAAAGGGCCUACAACGAACUAUGUGGUUCACAGUUUUGUUAUUCCUUACAUUGAAAUUAUUUUACAAAAAAAACCAAGAUUACAAAAGGGGUUAUAGGCUUGAGGGAAACGAUUCAGUUGAUUCAACACUUAAGGAAAGAUUAAUCACAAUCCCAUAUCUUGAUCCAUUCACGAAUAAGUCAAGCACAAUGACAAAGAUGUGGCAUUCAAGAAAACAUAGAGGAUUACUAUCUAACAAACAAAAGCAGAAAUGAUAAUAAUAGGGUUAACAAAAUGGUGUAGAUUUUCAAUAUGAUUAAAUCUUGCAUUUCCCUCCCUUUCCGAAGUGAGCUCUCAGUACUAAAACAAGACAAAUUUAGUAAGAUCAAAUCCACCGAGCCUCAAAGACGCAAUGGCCAAACAUCAGAUCAAAGAGUCCAAUAAUUGAUAGGCAACAAUAACAUAAAUGGCACCAAAUAUUCCAUCCACAUAAACUGGAUGCCUAAGCUACCAUACUUGGAUUGCAAACAUAAAACUAUCUUGCAAAUCUGUAUUAGGCCUAAAUCUCAACUUUUCUACAUCUAAAUCCAAAUGAAACAGCAAGAGUGCUCAAUGCAAAAAUCAGUUAAAGCUUCAAACAAACCAAAUCCAUCACUGAAGUAGUAACACAUGGUUAACAAUUCCAGAACGUUAUACUACCCUAAAGGACCAGUGAGAAUCUGAAGAUAUAACAGAUAAAUAUACCUAUAGAAUAGAUGAGUGCAAGUUCUUAACACAACAAAUAACCCAGUUCUCACAAUUAAUGAAAUCCCUUAUCCAGUGAAGAGAAGACCCAAUAUUUCAAAAGGAGUGAUAAGUCAUGUUAAGAAAAGCAUUUUGAAUCAUAUUUCAAUUGGUAGAACUGAAGUCAACCAAAUCCUAAUCCCUUCACACAACUAUAACCUUAGGUGAGUUUCAUUUAAAACUUAAGAGACAUGAUGUGCACAAUUGUUUGAGAACCAAUAAAAAUAACUCUCACGAUACAACUCUGUUAACAUUAGUAAGCCAAAGAUGAACAGAUCUAAUCCGAAAACAUAAGCAUAACCUAAACGCUUCAGUUUUCAAUUUAUCACAUUCAAACACAUCGAAUAGAAAGAUAGCACAUUGGAUAACAAGAACAGAUCGACGAACAUCUCUUUCACGCACAAAUCGAAACUGGAAGCUAACUUAAUUCAUCAAAUUUCAAAACAACUGCUUAAAUUCGAGUCGCUAACAACUACUAUCAACUAGAAUGCACUCGAUGACAGUCCUAAAACUUUGAUGCAAAGUAAAAUCAUACUCUCAACUAGCAGUCAUGAUCGGACUCGGAUUUCAAUACAAAGAUGCUACCAACUCAAAUACUCAACUCAAUUUCCUCAAUUAAUAACACUCAAUGGAUUAGGGCUAAAGUAGAAUGAGAAGCUAUUUUUCAAUUCGCAGAACUUCAAGGAUGAGCACAGCUCACACAACUGAACAUCGAUUCAGUUUAAAGUCCAAACAAUGGCAACAAACAGACUUGAACCAUUAAAAACAAUCAUACUUAAUGCAAAACUAUCACGAAUUCUAACUGAUCUUUAGAUGAACCAGUAACAUAUCUCAACAGAACCCAAAACUGAAAAGAAGAAGCCAAAGAAGGAUUUCCAACAUGUCGGAUUCAAACUAUAAGAUGCUUUCGAAUUCUCAGCAUUUCAAAGAUAAUUUCAGCAUUCACUCAAAAUUCAAACUUCAACAGCAAAUACUCACUCAUUUUGUUUUUUGAAUCUUUAACUUAACCAAAAGGAACCUUUUAAAGAACUGAACUAAUUUAAAAUAUGACGCGACUAAAGCUUAACAAAGAGUCAUAACAGUUCUAAUUGCUGAAUCGAACUGACUGGAUCGACAACAAUCAAUGAGCCUCCAAAAACAAUUUCAGAGCUCAGUUGACAUAUACACAUCCAAACCAACCAGAAAUACUCGUGCAAAUGGCAAACUAACACAUUACGACCAACAGCCACCAAGAUUUAAAUAGUUUCAAACCAGUUGAACUCAAACUCUCAAUACAUUUCUUAAUCAAAUACCAAAGAUAGGCUACAGGAGAUUAAAAACGAACCUGAAUCAGUAAAACACUUCUGUUUAAUUUUGCUCGAAUGUUGAAUACAAAUGAAAUCCGGAAGCUAAUGUCAAUCCAAACAAGCAAUAGAAUCGAGUAGAAAUCAGAAGCUCGGACAGCAGCAAACUCAGCAACUCUCAAUCGAUCACCAUUCCCAAACAAACCUCCAGCCAAGAAAGAAAGAAUGGAAUAUAUAUUUAUGAUUUUCUUUUUUUGAAAAGUAAUCGAAAAUGAAACCAAUUCAAAGAACAAUGAACAUUUUUUUAUAUCUUCUCUUGUUCUGAAAAACUGAACUAAAAUUCAAAAUGAAGAAGAAGAAAAAUCUCUUUUCAAUCCUCGCCUUUCUGCCCAAAAAAUCCCCCUUUUCAGAAGAGAAGCCUUACCUUAUAUAUAUCUCCCCAAAAAUCUCGAACCUUCUCUUUCUUUCUUCACAUACACGAAAUCUGAAAAUCUCUUUCGGAUCCAAUUCUGACGGAUGUAAGGAGGGGAUUGAUCCUCAAAUCAAUCCACGGCUCCCAUUUUUCGGAAUUUAUUCCUCAGAGAUUUCAACGAAUUCAGCACAUGGGUGGAAAAAAUGUUAGAAGCCGUUAGAAUAUUCGGUGACGUGGUGAGAUGGGGUGUGCGUGGGGUGAGUUUGAGCUCACUCGUGCGAGUUUGGACACAUAUCUAAUGGUGAAGGAGAUGGUGAAUAGUAAAGCGUCGUCUCUGAAUUUGGGAUCUAGGGUUCAUUU